RNAcentral lists this long non-coding RNA (558 nucleotides) under Mus musculus (house mouse). RNAcentral's name for it is "predicted gene, 48778". Lineage: Eukaryota; Metazoa; Chordata; Mammalia; Rodentia; Muridae. The record is from RNAcentral.
ACGCUCAAGGAAGUAAAUAAAUGCCUCCCUCAAGAAAAAUAAGAGGGUUACAGAGAUGGGCUAGAUGCCGGCAAAGCACUUACUCUUCAACGGGGCUUCAAUCAAGGGUACAAAGAGGGUGCAGACGUCAUUAUAAACUAUGGACUCCUUAGAGGAACACUGAGUGCUUUGCUUUCCUGGUGUCACCUUCAUGGUAAUAGUUCGACUCUGAUCAGUAAGAUAAGUAACCUCCUGGACACAGUUGACCAGUGUGAAGAGUGUGUGCUCAGACGUCUGAAAUCGGUUACAUCACAGCCACGAGUUACGGAUUUAUUGGACGCCAUUGAGGAUAUGGACCUUUGUCACGUAGUUCCGUCAGACCAAGCGAAAGGAUCGGGAAAGGAGUUUUUCAUCACUUUUCCCCACCUGAAGUUAAUAUACAACGCCUGACUGAGAGCCAUCCAGCAUGGAGACAGUUGAAUAUAAACGAGGAUAUCAGCUUCAAAGUUUGGGAUGUGGGCAGCCAGGACAAGAUCCAGCCCCUGGAGCACCACUACUUCUGGAGCACCCAAGCCUUGU